CCCCAUGCCGAACUCAGCAGUGAAACGCCGUAGCGCCGAUGGUAGUGUGGGGUCUCCCCAUGUGAGAGUAGGGAACUGCCAGGC
Molecule: ribosomal RNA, 84 nt
Filed under: Photorhabdus luminescens
Lineage: Bacteria; Pseudomonadati; Pseudomonadota; Gammaproteobacteria; Enterobacterales; Morganellaceae
Source: RNAcentral